Molecule: ribosomal RNA, 427 nt
Filed under: uncultured bacterium
Lineage: Bacteria
Description: bacterial SSU rRNA
Rfam family: Bacterial small subunit ribosomal RNA
Source: RNAcentral
UGGGGAAUUUUGGACAAUGGGCGCAAGCCUGAUCCAGCAAUGCCGCGUGCAGGAUGAAGGCCUUCGGGUUGUAAACUGCUUUUGUACGGAGCGAAAAGGUCUGCCCUAAUACGGUGGGCUCAUGACGGUACCUGAAGAAUAAGCACCGGCUAACUACGUGCCAGCAGCCGCGGUAAUACGUAGGGUGCAAGCGUCAAUCGGAAUUACUGGGCGUAAAGCGUGCGCAGGCGGUUAUGCAAGACAGAGGUGAAAUCCCCGGGCUCAACCUGGGACCUGCAUUUGUGACUGCAUCGCUGGAGUGCGGCAGAGGGGGAUGGAAUUCCGCGUGUAGCAGUGAAAUGCGUAGAUAUGCAGAGGAACACCGAUGGCGAAGGCAAUCCCCUGGGCCUGCACUGACGCUCAUGCACGAAAGCGUGGGGAGCAAACA